Non-coding RNA from Lates calcarifer (barramundi perch), 393 nucleotides. The record is from the annotation of a RefSeq genome assembly. Lineage: Eukaryota; Metazoa; Chordata; Actinopteri; Centropomidae.
AUGGGUAUUAUCAAACACGGUCUCCUCAGCUCGUUGGUAUUUGUGCUCUGGAUAACAGGUCGAACCAAUGGAAGUGAUGUCACCCAGACCUCAAUACUGUGGAAAAAAGAGGGUGACAAUGCAGAAAUACAAUGCAGUCACACCAAGGGUGGUACCUACUACCAGAUGUACUGGUACAGACAGCUGCCUGGAGAAACUAUGAGACAAGUUGUGUUAUCAAUUGCCAACACCAAACCUACCUUUGAACCAGACUUCACAGAUGAAAAAUUUUCAGUCACUAAGCCUAAUGCUGAGACUGGAACAUUCACAGUGAAGAAUCUGGUGCCAGAAGAUAAAGGCUUGUAUUUCUGUGCUGUAAGUGAACACAGUGAUACAGACACAUGUGAGAGCUGA